CUCUCUUCUUCUUUCCUCAUUUCUCUUUUCUAUUCUCUCUUUCUUUUUCUUCUUCUUUUCUCCGGCGGUCCAGAGAUGAAAUCUCUGUCGAAGAACUUCAUCGAAAAUUAGUAAAACCAAUCAAUUGAGUGUGGUGUUGAUGAGUUAAUAGUUUUGGUUUAGUUUGAAACUUCAGUUGAGUUGAAGAGAGGUGAUCUGUGAAGAAGUUAGGAUUCUGUUAAAUUGGUAAAGGAUUGAGUUGAGUUAAUAAUUGAAGAUCAGGAUGUGAAGAAGAAGGUUAUAGUUGUAUUUUGAAGAUUGUCUACAAAGAAGAAGAGUAACUGAGGAAUCUGAAAUUAGGGUUCUGUUCUUGAGAAUUUUGGAAAAGGAGAAAUUAGAAGAUGAAAUUGAGGUGUUUAGGGAAAGAGUAGAGAUGGGUUUGUCAUGAAUUAGGUAUAAGACUGAAGAAUUACUUGAGUUUGUUAGUUAGGGCUUGGGAAUUAGUGAAUUGAAGUAUUUCUGAAGUUAAGGUUGAUGAAUUGGAUUCGAUGAAGAACUGGGAUUUGAUUUCCGCAUCAAGAAGGUGAUGGAAUUAUUAUUGGUGAUGAUUCAGUAGACGCAUCAUGAGGUAAUUGAUUUGAUUUCUCAGUAACUUAGUAAAGUUAAUACGCUCUGUUGUGAGUUUAUAAGGCUGUUCAUAAUAGGAGAGUUAAAAGGAGUUUACUGUGUAUGAGGUGUUAUAAAUCAUUGGUGGUGAUGUUGUUGAACCAGUGGUGGAUAUGAAAUUGAGUUACAUUUGUAGCUUGUUGAACUGGUGGUGUUGAAAUGGAUAAUAUGAACAUGGUAAUGUUGAUGUGAGAAUUUGUUAUGGUUUGAUUAUCUGGUUGUAGUGUGUUGGUGUGAAGUAGUGACGUUGCAGAAAAGUAAAGGGUGAUGAUACAAUCCGGUGGAGGAAAAGAUGAGACCUGGAAUGAUGGUGAUGAUUGUGUUAGUUCUGAUAUCUGAAUUGUCGGUGGUUGCUGAUGAUGAUGGGUAUUGGAUGCGUGUAUGUAUGUCAAUGGAGGAGGAUAUAGGUAUUAUGAGUUGAUCUGAGUUAUUAUUGAUGUUGUAGAGGAGAAUUGAAAUAAUGAUGAACUAUUGAUAUUGUUGGUGGAGAUGGGGAUUGGAUCUACAUGGUUAAUGGUUGCGGUUGAGGAUAUAAGUGAUGGGGGAGUGUUGAGCAAUUGAUGGAUCUGUAGAUAAGAAGAGAUGUAAAUGAUUGUACUAAGUUAUAAGUUGUAGCACUGUUGUUGAAGUUGCAGGGGAUAUCAGUGGCUGUUGGAGGUUUAGAAACUAUAGGCGUUGGUGUUGUUUGUGCGUUUGUGAGUUGCAAGCAGGCAAGGUGCAACUGAAAUGGUAGUUGUAGGACUGUAAUCAGUGCUAGCUGUGAAAGCUUGGAAAAGCUGCAGUUGCAGUUAGUCUAUUAACAACUAUCGAUUCAAAGGAUGAACCAGAGGAUCGUGGAUCUCGAGGUAAGCGUGGCUUGUCAUCAAAAGAGGUGGGAAUACAUUUAACUCUUUUGAAACUAUUGUUGUUUCUUUUACAAAGGUUUAUGUUUAUAAACUCAUGCAUCGUCUGUUUGUGCAUUCCAUGCAUUAUUAUGUUUGUAUUAUGAUUAUUUUGUUGAUUCUUCUUAAUAUUUCCAUGAUUUGGAAAGGACUUGUAUUGUUCCGAAUGUCAUUAUGAAUUGUAUGGGAAAUAAGAAUUUCCACCUGUGGUAUA
This is a long non-coding RNA of Papaver somniferum (opium poppy), 1740 nucleotides long. RefSeq lists it as uncharacterized. The transcript has 2 exons. The record is from RefSeq and is a predicted model, not a curated record. NCBI's taxonomy places the organism in Eukaryota, Viridiplantae, Streptophyta, Magnoliopsida, Ranunculales, Papaveraceae.